Molecule: ribosomal RNA, 495 nt
Filed under: uncultured bacterium
Lineage: Bacteria
Description: partial 16S ribosomal RNA
Rfam family: Bacterial small subunit ribosomal RNA
Source: RNAcentral
GACGAACGCUGGCGGCGUGCCUAAUACAUGCAAGUAGAACGCUGAAGGAGGAGCUUGCUUCUCUGGAUGAGUUGCGAACGGGUGAGUAACGCGUAGGUAACCUGCCUGGUAGCGGGGGAUAACUAUUGGAAACGAUAGCUAAUACCGCAUAACAGUAGAUAUCGCAUGAUAUCUACUUGAAAGGUGCAAUUGCAUCACUACCAGAUGGACCUGCGUUGUAUUAGCUAGUUGGUGAGGUAACGGCUCACCAAGGCGACGAUACAUAGCCGACCUGAGAGGGUGAUCGGCCACACUGGGACUGAGACACGGCCCAGACUCCUACGGGAGGCAGCAGGAGGGAAUCUUCGGCAAUGGACGGAAGUCUGACCGAGCAACGCCGCGUGAGUGAAGAAGGUUUUCGGAUCGUAAAGCUCUGUUGUAAGAGAAGAACGAGUGUGAGAGUGGAAAGUUCACACUGUGACGGUAUCUGACCAGAAAGGGACGGCUAACUACGUG